RNAcentral lists this ribosomal RNA (438 nucleotides) under uncultured bacterium. RNAcentral's name for it is "bacterial SSU rRNA". It matches the Rfam family "Bacterial small subunit ribosomal RNA", at positions 8 to 431 of the family's 1533-position model. The record is from RNAcentral.
AGAGUUUGAUCCUGGCUCAGAACGAACGCUGGCGGCGUGCUUAACACAUGCAAGUCGAACGUGAUCCGGAGCUUGCUCCGGUGAAAGUGGCGCACGGGUGAGUAACGCGUGGAUAAUCUGCCCUGGUAUCUGGGAUAACAUCUCGAAAGGGGUGCUAAUACCGGAUAAGCCUACGGUCUCUUCGGAGUCUGCAGGAAAAGGUGGCCUCUAUUUAUAAGCUACCGUAUCAGGAUGAGUCCGCGUACCAUUAGCUAGUUGGUGGGGUAAUGGCCCACCAAGGCUACGAUGGUUAGCUGGUCUGAGAGGAUGAUCAGCCACACUGGAACUGAGACACGGUCCAGACUCCUACGGGAGGCAGCAGUGGGGAAUUUUGCGCUAUGGGGGAAACCCUGACGCAGCAACGCCGCGUGAGUGAUGAAGGCUUUCGGGUCGUAAAGC